GCUAGGGUGACAGAAUGGCAAUGUGCGGGGUUCGCAAGCCCAGGCUCCGUUGCUUCAACCAACGGUCGCGGGUUCGAUUCCCGCCCCUAGCUCCA
RNAcentral lists this transfer RNA (95 nucleotides) under Gammaproteobacteria bacterium. RNAcentral's name for it is "tRNA-Ala". It matches the Rfam family "tRNA". From Rfam's summary of the family: Transfer RNA (tRNA) molecules are approximately 80 nucleotides in length. Their secondary structure includes four short double-helical elements and three loops (D, anti-codon, and T loops). Further hydrogen bonds mediate the characteristic L-shaped molecular structure. tRNAs have two regions of fundamental functional importance: the anti-codon, which is responsible for specific mRNA codon recognition, and the 3' end, to which the tRNAs corresponding amino acid is attached (by aminoacyl-tRNA synthetases). tRNAs cope with the degeneracy of the genetic code in two manners: having more than one tRNA (with a specific anti-codon) for a particular amino acid; and 'wobble' base-pairing, i.e. permitting non-standard base-pairing at the 3rd anti-codon position. Lineage: Bacteria; Pseudomonadati; Pseudomonadota; Gammaproteobacteria. The record is from RNAcentral.